UCUUUUUAUUUGUUUAUUGCCUCAUUAAACGAUAUUUAUCAUGUUUAUGCAUAUUGAUUGAAGAUGAAAGGAAAUUAAUCACAAUCUUGAGUUUUCAACAGGUGUUCAUUAUUUACAAUGAUUGUAUAUUCUGGCGCGUGUAAUUGUAUAGUCUGACGCGUGUACAAAGUUGAAGGUGUUAAUUGGAUGUUAUUGUAGCAAUAAAACAGGGGACACACGACUCGUUAAUCUCAUUUGAUGUUCCACAUGUUUGCUUAUCAAAAUGGGACCACCAUGUACAAAAUGUAUAAAUAUUAUGUUAGAUAGGAAUGUACAUAUUACUAUAUAAUGACUUAAAAUAAAAAAUAUAUGGACCCCAAGGUAGAACCACGUCCUCGUCGUGGGGUCUGGAAACACGCUUACAUAAUAAAGAUUGCAAAGCAUGGCUGAGAGUUCUAUAAAUAAAGCAUCGAAUUGACAUAACAAGAG
This 468-nucleotide long non-coding RNA is filed under the name Mytilus galloprovincialis (Mediterranean mussel). Lineage: Eukaryota; Metazoa; Mollusca; Bivalvia; Mytilida; Mytilidae. The record is from RNAcentral.